AGUGGGAUAGCUGGGUGAAAUGGUGGUUCCAUUCCAAGUUUUUUGAGGAUUCUCCAUACUGUUUUCUGAAAUGGUUGCACCAAUUUGCAGUCCCACCAGCAAU
This 103-nucleotide microRNA precursor is filed under the name Marmota monax (woodchuck). The record is from RNAcentral. Lineage: Eukaryota; Metazoa; Chordata; Mammalia; Rodentia; Sciuridae.